RNAcentral lists this long non-coding RNA (927 nucleotides) under Panax ginseng (ginseng). RNAcentral describes it as "long non-coding RNA (PGIN_LNC013690)". The record is from RNAcentral. Lineage: Eukaryota; Viridiplantae; Streptophyta; Magnoliopsida; Apiales; Araliaceae.
AAAAAAGGAGACAUGAGGUCUGCUAGAAAUACUAGCGGCCGGAUAUUUGACAUGGAUUGGACGAUUAAGCCCCAAUAACCCCAACUCAUCGACCAAUAAUCCCAAGUCUAUGAGCAAUGAGAGACAAGUUUCAUGGAAGCAUGUCUAAUUUUAGAGUGAAAACCUCCUUCUCUCUAACUUUUCUCUUGUUUCAGAAUUGAACUUGAUUCUUGUUGGAUCUAUGUUUUAAUCUUUGUUCAAUUAAUAAUCUGUUCUUUGGAUCGAUCUAUGUUUUUGAGCAAAUCUGUGCUUGUUCAUGGCAGGUAAGAAACUUAGGCAAAAGUUGGUGCUUAGCUCUAUUGGGAAUGCUAGUGUUGAGAAAAAAUCCUUUGAUUCCAAGAUCUUGCCUCAAAUCUGCUAUAUCAAGCUUAAAGAAUGUUGAUUUUGAUUUUUCUGAUCAAUUUAGCUCUUCAGAUGAAGUCAACGACCAAUAAUCCCAAGUCAGAUUAUGGGUUAAUUCGAUGCAGAGUAGCAACAUCAGCAGUUAUGGGUUACUUGAAUUAUUUGUUAAUUCGAUUCGAAAAGGAGCAACAUCAGCAUUUAUGGGUUAAUCGCAUUAUUUGUUAAUUCGAUUCGAAACGGAGAAGCAACAUCAACAAGUUGUUAGGAGAUUGAAGUAUGUAUAAAUUGAAGAGAGGGCAUAAUCGUCCAAAAUUGUUAAACACUCAGUCCGCUAGAAUGACUAGCGGACUAUGACAUGCCUUUUUAAAUUAGGAUAUUUGAUUAUUAUUAGGAAAGAUUAGGAUGUUAUUUGUCUAUUUUUUUAUACAUAGCAAAUAUAUAUUAUAUAUAUAUAUUAUAUUUUAUUAUUUGUGAUUUUUGUAGCCUCCAUUUAUUAUCUCCACUUAUAGUAGAAAGAAUUUGACGGUUGAAAAGUCUUUAACGUUA